AUGAACGCUGGCGGCGUGCCUAAUACAUGCAAGUCGAGCGAACAGACGAGGAGCUUGCUCCUCUGACGUUAGCGGCGGACGGGUGAGUAACACGUGGAUAACCUACCUAUAAGACUGGGAUAACUUCGGGAAACCGGAGCUAAUACCGGAUAAUAUAUUGAACCGCAUGGUUCAAUAGUGAAAGACGGUUUUGCUGUCACUUAUAGAUGGAUCCGCGCCGCAUUAGCUAGUUGGUAAGGUAACGGCUUACCAAGGCAACGAUGCGUAGCCGACCUGAGAGGGUGAUCGGCCACACUGGAACUGAGACACGGUCCAGACUCCUACGGGAGGCAGCAGUAGGGAAUCUUCCGCAAUGGGCGAAAGCCUGACGGAGCAACGCCGCGUGAGUGAUGAAGGUCUUCGGAUCGUAAAACUCUGUUAUUAGGGAAGAACAAAUGUGUAAGUAACUAUGCACGUCGUGACGGUACCUAAUCAGAAAGCCACGGCUAACUACGUG
Molecule: ribosomal RNA, 496 nt
Filed under: uncultured bacterium
Lineage: Bacteria
Description: partial 16S ribosomal RNA
Rfam family: Bacterial small subunit ribosomal RNA
Source: RNAcentral